Molecule: long non-coding RNA, 511 nt
Filed under: Vulpes vulpes (red fox)
Lineage: Eukaryota; Metazoa; Chordata; Mammalia; Carnivora; Canidae
Description: lncRNA (ENSVVUG00000025085.1)
Source: RNAcentral
CUUGACUUGGAAAUAUAAAAGAAGGAUAAAUAUGUUUCAAGGUAUAAUUUACAUUUUACUUAUGAUUCUGCUUUGAUUUUAAAAUAAAUUAGUGAUUAGAACUUCCCAUCCUCAUGCAGCUACAUAUUUAUUACAAAUUCCUUGAGUGACUUUCAGAUCAUGGGCUCCCAAGACUAAAGUCUUGAUGGUUUGAGAAUUUUAUGUGGAGAAGAAUGCUACAAGAAUGUAUAUGGUAAAGGCAAACCACUUAAAUAUGUCCUGGGUUGUGCAAUGGAAUUCAGCAUCACUGUGAGUAAAUACUACAUUUUGUGCUUUUACUCAGGACUACACUCCCUGCUGCCUCCUGCAAUCACCAGUAUACAGAGUGGAAGAUCUCUUUAUUACUGCAGGGCCAGAAUGAAGGCUUUCAGGGUUCGUGAGAAAAAGACUUCUUCUCCACUUCUCAAGUGAAAUUCAAAGGAUCCUGUUAAGGCCUUAGAGAAUGACAGAGCCACUAAUUCCAAGGAGUCGG